CAGCCGCCGCGGUAAUACGUAGGGUGCGAGCGUUAAUCGGAAUUACUGGGCGUAAAGCGUGCGCAGGCGGUUAUAUAAGUCAGAUGUGAAAUCCCCGGGCUCAACCUGGGAACUGCAUUUGAGACUGUAUGGCUAGAGUGUGUCAGAGGGGGGUAGAAUUCCACGUGUAGCAGUGAAAUGCGUAGAUAUGUGGAGGAAUACCGAUGGCGAAGGCAGCCCCCUGGGAUAACACUGACGCUCAUGCACGAAAGCGUGGGGAGCAAACAGGAUUAGAUACCCCUGUAGUCCCUGUCUCUUAUAC
This 301-nucleotide ribosomal RNA is filed under the name uncultured bacterium. RNAcentral's name for it is "partial 16S ribosomal RNA". It matches the Rfam family "Bacterial small subunit ribosomal RNA", at positions 509 to 807 of the family's 1533-position model. The record is from RNAcentral.